RNAcentral lists this long non-coding RNA (512 nucleotides) under Trifolium pratense (red clover). RNAcentral describes it as "long non-coding RNA (TPRA_LNC014027)". Lineage: Eukaryota; Viridiplantae; Streptophyta; Magnoliopsida; Fabales; Fabaceae. The record is from RNAcentral.
AUUUUUCUGCAUAAGUCAGCUUCAGACCUCCAACUUUGAAAUCGUCUCCUGAACUCAUUUCUCCUCCAAAAAUUACGGAACCAGCAUCGAUACGACCGUAACUGAGUAAGAUUUCCACAGCAAAUCAGAACCAAUCCAAACGGAGUUACUGAGAGGGAGAACUUACCAUUUAAGUGCAGACCUCUUCCAAACAAAUUCUGCAUAAAACUCUGCAUCCUUGCUCCAACUUCAAACACGUUUUCAAAGCUCGUUACUAAACCAAAUGCUACCAAACGAAUGACUAAACUGAAGGAAAUUUCGUCUAGAUUCUGAAAAUUCAACAAUUGCUUAAAUCCGAGUUAUAGGGUGGAAAUUAUGACAGAAAUACCAGGUCCAUACGAAAAUUUCUUAAAUUACCUCCAAUACUUAGAAUAUUCCAACCCAAAACAAGAUUCACGAAUACAAGCCUCAAGAGUGAAAAAGAAUUCUGAAUUUGGGUAAAAACAAGACAUCAAUUAAAAGGAAAAUCUUAA